UACAGAGGUCUCGAGCGUUAGGCGGAAUCACUGGGCUUAAAGCGUGUGUAGGCGGAUCGGUAAGUACCUUGUGAAAUCCCACAGCUUAACUGUGGAACUGCUUGGUAUACUGCCAGUCUUGAGCCAGCUAGGGGCUACCGGAACAAAUGGUGAAGCGGUGAAAUGCGUAGAUAUCAUUUGGAACGCCAAUGGUGAAAACAGGUAGCUGGGGCUGUGCUGACGCUGAGACACGAAAGCCAGGGGAGCGAACGGG
RNAcentral lists this ribosomal RNA (253 nucleotides) under uncultured bacterium. RNAcentral's name for it is "partial 16S ribosomal RNA". It matches the Rfam family "Bacterial small subunit ribosomal RNA", at positions 524 to 776 of the family's 1533-position model. The record is from RNAcentral.